Molecule: long non-coding RNA, 559 nt
Organism: Nymphalis io (European peacock)
Lineage: Eukaryota; Metazoa; Arthropoda; Insecta; Lepidoptera; Nymphalidae
Exons: 3
Source: RefSeq, a predicted model, not a curated record
AAGAAUGGGUUAAGGAAAGUCAGUAUAAAAGUUGACGAUCUCUGGGGUACGAACACAUCGGGUACAAAGGAGACCAAGAAAAUGCACCGACUAGUGAUAUUUUUAUGCGUCCUUGUGCUGAGUACAGCAGUCUUUUGCGAAGACUCCCACGAUAACGCAAAGGGCUCAACAGAACAUCCGAAGUCAUUGGGCGCCAUGAAUUCCACCACACACAAAACGCCAGAACUACCCAAAGCGCCCGACGGCAAAACUUUAACCAACACAAAUGGAAAUAAUUAGCAUUUAUCAUAGAACCUACUUUACGUAUUACAAAAAACAAAAAUAAAUUCAUUUUAAUUCCAGAGGCAUUCGUAUAAGACUUUCUGGCCAGUAUUAUGUAAGAGAUGACAAUCAUAAACGAUAUAUUAAAAAAUGUAAUGCGUAAAAAGGCAGUAUGAUGAUAUUCCAAAAACCAACGAAACAAGGCUUUGAUUACUUGACAAUUUGAUUGUAUGUCUAAAGAUAUCUUAACUUUUAUAUUUAUUUAUAUAUGAAGUAUAUUAAAGUCAGUUGCAUCUGU